Molecule: transfer RNA, 74 nt
Filed under: Oceanospirillum multiglobuliferum
Lineage: Bacteria; Pseudomonadati; Pseudomonadota; Gammaproteobacteria; Oceanospirillales; Oceanospirillaceae
Rfam family: tRNA
About the family: Transfer RNA (tRNA) molecules are approximately 80 nucleotides in length. Their secondary structure includes four short double-helical elements and three loops (D, anti-codon, and T loops).
Source: Rfam by way of RNAcentral
UGCGGGAUGGAGCAGUCUGGUAGCUCGUCGGGCUCAUAACCCGAAGGUCGUCGGUUCAAAUCCGGCUCCCGCUU